CGUGGGGAACCUGCCCCAUAGUCUGGGAUACCACUUGGAAACAGGUGCUAAUACCGGAUAAGAAAGCGGAUCGCAUGAUCAGCUUUUAAAAGGCGGCGUAAGCUGUCGCUAUGGGAUGGCCCCGCGGUGCAUUAGCUAGUUGGUAAGGUAAAGGCUUACCAAGGCGAUGAUGCAUAGCCGAGUUGAGAGACUGAUCGGCCACAUUGGGACUGAGACACGGCCCAAACUCCUACGGGAGGCAGCAGAC
RNAcentral lists this ribosomal RNA (247 nucleotides) under uncultured Lactobacillus sp. RNAcentral describes it as "partial 16S ribosomal RNA". It matches the Rfam family "Bacterial small subunit ribosomal RNA", at positions 116 to 354 of the family's 1533-position model. The record is from RNAcentral. Lineage: Bacteria; Bacillati; Bacillota; Bacilli; Lactobacillales; Lactobacillaceae.